UCUGGGACAAGCCCUGGAAACGGGGUCUAAUACCGGAUACCACCUUCACUGGCAUCUGUGAAGGUUGAAAGCUCCGGCGGUGAAGGAUGAGCCCGCGGCCUAUCAGCUUGUUGGUGAGGUAAUGGCUCACCAAGGCGACGACGGGUAGCCGGCCUGAGAGGGCGACCGGCCACACUGGGACUGAGACACGGCCCAGACUCCUACGGGAGGCAGCAGUGGGGAAUAUUGCACAAUGGGCGAAAGCCUGAUGCAGCGACGCCGCGUGAGGGAUGACGGCCUUCGGGUUGUAAACCUCUUUCAGCAGGGAAGAAGCGAAAGUGACGGUACCUGCAGAAGAAGCGCCGGCUAACUACGUGCCAGCAGCCGCGGUAAUACGUAGGGCGCAAGCGUUGUCCGGAAUUAUUGGGCGUAAAGAGCUCGUAGGCGGCUUGUCACGUCGGGUGUGAAAGCCCGGGGCUUAACCCCGGGUCUGCAUUCGAUACGGGCUAGCUAGAGUGUGGUAGGGGAGAUCGGAAUUCCUGGUGUAGCGGUGAAAUGCGCAGAUAUCAGGAGGAACACCGGUGGCGAAGGCGGAUCUCUGGGCCAUUACUGACGCUGAGGAGCGAAAGCGUGGGGAGCGAACAGGAUUAGAUACCCUGGUAGUCCACGCCGUAAACGGUGGGAACUAGGUGUUGGCGACAUUCCACGUCGUCGGUGCCGCAGCUAACGCAUUAAGUUCCCCGCCUGG
This 727-nucleotide ribosomal RNA is filed under the name Streptomyces sp. RNAcentral's name for it is "bacterial SSU rRNA". It matches the Rfam family "Bacterial small subunit ribosomal RNA", at positions 137 to 876 of the family's 1533-position model. Lineage: Bacteria; Bacillati; Actinomycetota; Actinomycetes; Kitasatosporales; Streptomycetaceae. The record is from RNAcentral.